UACGGGAGGCAGCAGUAGGGAAUCUUCCGCAAUGGACGCAAGUCUGACGGAGCAACGCCGCGUGAGUGAAGAAGGCCUUCGGGUUGUAAAACUCUGUUGCCGGGGAAGAACAAGUGCCGUUCGAACAGGGCGGUACCUUGACGGUACCCGGCCAGAAAGCCACGGCUAACUACGUGCCAGCAGCCGCGGUAAUACGUAGGUGGCAAGCGUUGUCCGGAAUUAUUGGGCGUAAAGCGCGCGCAGGCGGCUUCUUAAGUCUGAUGUGAAAUCUUGCGGCUCAACCGCAAGCGGCCAUUGGAAACUGGGAGGCUUGAGUGCAGAAGAGGAGAGUGGAAUUCCACGUGUAGCGGUGAAAUGCGUAGAGAUGUGGAGGAACACCAGUGGCGAAGGCGGCUCUCUGGUCUGUAACUGACGCUGAGGCGCGAAAGCGUGGGGAGCAAACAGGAUUAGAUACCCUGGUAGUCCACGCCGUAAACGAUGAGUGCUAAGUGUUAGAGGGUUUCCGCCCUUUAGUGCUGCAGCUAACGCAUAAGCACUCCGCCUGGGAGAACGCGCACGGGU
This 561-nucleotide ribosomal RNA is filed under the name uncultured bacterium. Its description in RNAcentral is "bacterial SSU rRNA". It matches the Rfam family "Bacterial small subunit ribosomal RNA", at positions 340 to 893 of the family's 1533-position model. The record is from RNAcentral.